ACUGGAAACAUAUAACAGGCUUGCAUUGACGUGAAUAAACCUAUGUGUCAGAGGAACACUGUUUAGACCAGUUUAGUGGUGUGCCAGUGAUGCCAAUAGAAGUUAAUUUCAUGAAUUUCAUGGGAUACAGUGUCAAAGUCCAAAGUCAGAUUCCAGGAGG
This is a long non-coding RNA of Poecilia latipinna (sailfin molly), 160 nucleotides long. RefSeq lists it as uncharacterized. The record is from RefSeq and is a predicted model, not a curated record. Lineage: Eukaryota; Metazoa; Chordata; Actinopteri; Cyprinodontiformes; Poeciliidae. The transcript is spliced from 3 exons.